Molecule: long non-coding RNA, 413 nt
Filed under: Homo sapiens (human)
Lineage: Eukaryota; Metazoa; Chordata; Mammalia; Primates; Hominidae
Description: HSALNT0354822
Source: RNAcentral
AGUUCAAUGCGAGCUGAGCAGACAGGGCUGCAAGGAAAUCUGGCGCGGUUCAAUACCUCGUCUAGCCUGGGUUCCAGUAUCUAAUUUUUUUUUUGUUUUAACUGACAAACUCAUUUCUCUACUGGGACAGGAUGCUGUGCUGGCUGGAAGUUCCAUUUCUACAGCAAGAAUCCUAUCUGGAAACACAGAAGUUGUCCUCUAGCCACAGCAGCUCGAACUUUUUUGAUUGUCGUUGCUGCUUUCUCCCAUCACCCCCAUCCCCUUUUGACAAAGAUCCAACUGUAAAAAGUCUUACGUAACAGUUCAGGACUACUUCGGUUCUUUUACUGGGUAAGCACUUUCAAUUUUUUUUUUUUAACUAAAAGCCAUUUUAAAAUUGAAUCUGUUGAGGGGCUUGACUAAAAUCUUUUAAG